Triticum aestivum (bread wheat) is the source of this 431-nucleotide long non-coding RNA. RefSeq lists it as uncharacterized. The transcript is spliced from 3 exons. NCBI's taxonomy places the organism in Eukaryota, Viridiplantae, Streptophyta, Magnoliopsida, Poales, Poaceae. The record is from RefSeq and is a predicted model, not a curated record.
GUUGCCUUCUCUACCUCUUUGCUCUCUCUAAGCGCAUACACAGACAGAAAGGAAAACUUGGUAGCCACUUUUACUCGUGAUUUUGGUCGAUUUGGAGUUGGAUUUCGAAGAUGAUGAAGUUGAAGAAAAGAUAGAUUAAGGCAUAAUUUUAGCACUUGAAGGAGUCAUUUGGAGUCAUUUAGAGCUUGAGGAGUAGGAUUUGCAUUGCGAAAGUGAACUACGAAGUUGAAGAUCAAGAUAAAAUAAUUCAUCUUAGUAGCAAACAAGGAGGAGAUGACGUGAUUGAAGAAAUUGUGUUUCUAUCUUCGCUGUCCCUUUUGAGGUGAUGACCACAUACAUGCAAGUGCUAUUUUCAUACUUUUGAUAGCAGAAAGAAAAAUCCGUGUGUAAUAUUGAUGUUCAUGUGAUAAUAGGUUGACUCAGUUCAUAUA